GCAGAGAGUGUUGCUUACAGUUGACGAGGGCCAGAUUGUUGGUCACAGUGAAGUGACAGGGAAGGAUGUUAUGAGAUGUACGCUGUCAUCGUGUGACGAGCAUGUGUUGAGUGAUGUCUAGGCAGAGCAGAGCAGUCAAUGUCUCGUUCUGUUUGGCAUACCGUGUAUCGUCUCAUUUACGCUGAUUGUUGUGCACUGUAAAGGGAUACUAGGGGAGCUUCAGUUUCACAACUUUCAAGAUGAACGUUUACUGGAUACCCACAAUCCUCCUCUCCCUCUGCCUCUCCAGUGCUGCCAACAUGAUAAGCUCCCACAACUGUAAAGUAUCAACAAAUGUCACAUCAGGCAGGAUCCAUAGCACUACCAGAACAUUCUGAUAACUGGAACAAAAGCCAAAGGUGGACCAAUCAAAGGGUUGCAGAUCAUUCAAGAUUGUAAUGCGUGCAAAGCUGCAUGGUUUUUCAGGUGGGGAUGCUAGUUGAAGUUGUUUGGAUCUCUCCAAUGCAUUACUCAAACUACUGUAGUUAAACCCCUAUUACAGAUGUGGAUAUGCUUUUACAUCUAUACUGCAGCGAUAUUAUGAAUAGAAUAAGCAGGUGUAUGUAAUGCAUUGACUUGGCUUUUUCCUCAUUUUGAUAGGACUUUGCAGAAAUGAAUGGGCUGGGGUGACAGGGAUGAAACUAAGUGACUCACGUUUUCUAUUCCACACCGUUCUGUGACUGUAUCUCUCCACCACUUUAUGAUAUCUCUUUCUUUCUCUGAACAUGUUCAAUGUGUGGGUUAAAAUACUGUGAAAUUACAAAUCAUGAAAUAUGAAUAAUCCAGAUUUGGGGCUAGGUAAAAUAUAGUGUACUGCAGGAUUCAGCCUCAGAAGCUAUUUCCUUUGUGUGUGUUUUUUACAUUUCCUACACAAGUCACAAGAAUGUCCUGACAACAUAGGAAAACCAGAUAAUGUCCUGAAUUUGUUAAAAUUCUAUUUUAGGCUUACGGAGUUAGGGUAAAUUGGAUUUUGAAUGGGAAUACAUUAAAAAAAGCUGUGUGUGCAUGUGUGCACAUGAUCAAAGUGAAAAGCAAUCUGAAUCUUUUGAAUCCCCUUGAGAUUGCUGCCUGUUGCUUCAUUGUUUGCUAGAGAUGUCAAGGUUUUUUACAUUCGGUUGUGAAUUCAACAUGAAAUCCCCCCCAAAAGUUAGGUUGAAAAAAAAAACGAAAUGCUCUUAUGAUCAGCAACACAUUGCUCAGCAACACAUUCAACGUCAUCACUGUGUAAGGGCUAUUAUACGAGCUAUUUGACCAUGAAGGAGAGUGAUGGAGUGCUGCAUCAGAUGACCUGGCCUCCACAAUCACCUGACCCCAACCCAAUUGAGAUGGCUUGGGAUGAGUUGGACCUCAGAGUGAAGGAAAAGCAGCUAACAAGUGCUCAGCAUAUGUGAGAACUCCUUCAAGUCUGUUGGUAAAGCAUUCCUCAUGAAGCUGGUUGAGAGAAUGCUAAGAAUGUUCAAAGCUGUCAUCAAGUCAAAGGGUGGUUACUUUGUUUAACACUUUUUUGGUUACUACAUGAUACUCUAUGUGUUAUUUCAUAGUUUUGAUGUCUUCACUAUUAUUGUACAAUGUAGAAAAUUGUA
This is a long non-coding RNA of Oncorhynchus tshawytscha (Chinook salmon), 1622 nucleotides long. The record is from Ensembl. NCBI's taxonomy places the organism in Eukaryota, Metazoa, Chordata, Actinopteri, Salmoniformes, Salmonidae.